Molecule: unclassified non-coding RNA, 382 nt
Filed under: uncultured bacterium
Lineage: Bacteria
Description: contains 16S-23S intergenic spacer region
Source: RNAcentral
UCCUUCUUAUCGAAGGCAGUUUCUCAAAAGUGCAUCCCUUGCGGGAUUAGCAACAUGAGAUAGGGGUUGCGCUCGUUGCGGGACUUAACCCAACAUCUCACGACACGAGCUGACGACAACCAUGCAGCACCUCUGCUGGCUUCCUUGCGGAUCAGUCCAUGUUUCCAAAGACUUACUACCAGUAGUUCAAGCCCAGGUAAGGUUCUUCGCGUUGCGUCGAAUUAAACCACAUGCUCCACCGCUUGUGCGGGCCCCCGUCAAUUCCUUUGAGUUUCAGCCUUGCGGCCGUACUCCCCAGGCGGGGCACUUACUGCGUUAGCGACGGCACCGGGAGGGUCGCUCCCCCCGACGCCUAGUGCCCAUCGUUUACGGCGUGGACUAC